AACAUCAAUUUAAUUGGGUAAUCUUUAGUCUAAAAUUAUGAAGAAUAACCCAUCUGUUCUCUUCUUGUUUUGUCUAUGGGGAAAUCUGCUGCUGUAAAAUAACAUGAAGGACUAAGUAACAAUCUCAUCAAGACUGUGUAGUUGUAACAAUUGAUCUCCCUUUUUUAAAGCAAGAAAUAUUAAUACAGAACACAUGUAAACCAUCACUGUCCAUCCAUGGAAUCGAAGGAGCAUUCUCUGCUCCAGGAAGUAAAACAGUAAUCCCUGCAAAAGUAAUUGGGAAAUUUUUCAUACGUCUAGCUCCCAAAAUGGAGCCCUUAGUAGUAGAAAAGCAGAAACCUUCCUAUUUGUGAAGACAAGCUGAUUUAUGGUUUGGAUAUGUAUGUGCUGCUGUCUUCUUACAAUAAGAUACAAAAGGGCUGAAACAGAUUAGAAUGGAAUAACUGACUUACAGGUAACAAUGGAGGACCUCAUCCACAAGUUACAUUAUUUAUCUACAUGCUACCAUACUGCAAGUACCAUCAAUGAGUUUUCCCAGACUUUGGAUUGGAUAAGUUUGGUGAGACAGCAGAAUAAUUUUACUACCAACACUUUGGACUUUUAUUUCAUUGGUUUGGACUAUCAUUGAUAUUCAUAAGGAUACAGCAUAGUUUUUUCUAUUUGUAUACUGUUGCUCGACUUCUAUAUACUGAGAUUCUAUAUUGUUAAUACACAUGCAUAUAUUUUGUAAAUUAGAUACGUCCCUGUCUCAGUUAUUCUAAUUAUUUUCAUUGUCUACCCUUGUUUCCCUCCUUCCUUGACAAUUAUAGUGUAAGCUUGCUGCUCAUUGGUUUGUUUAAACCUACACGGUUAACUGUGACAUACUUUGCAUCCUGCAUCUUAGUGUUGAGCGGGAGAGGUCAAGACCCCACUCAGGAACAACCACCUUUUGGUCAGCACCUACAGCUCCUCCAAGCGGCCAUGGAACCGAUGUGGAUAUGGUGGGCCAGCGCAGAGCCAGGGGUCUGGCAGGAAUAUCGGAGCGAGCACAGUGGAUGCAUUCACCUCCUUCCCCCAUGUGCUCCCUUCUGCUAAGCCACUCUCCUUUGAAGACCAGGACACCUAUGAAGAGAAAUUGGGCUUCGGAUUAAGAGAGAUACAGGAUUUAAUGUGGGCAGGCCGGUCCAAGUUGAAUACAGUGCGGUCCCAAAUACGGGAAAUGGCCGAACUGGCAUAUGACUUGUAUAUUGAAAUCGGUAAAUGCCAGUCGAAGCUCUGUGAAAUCGGUCAACUGAGGAUGGCAGCUGGCUAUGGACCGAGGAGAAGGCCAAGGAAACACCAAUGCAAAACUGUGGUAUCACUGAAGGAACUGAGAAGACUUCCAAGGCAUCAGUAAUUUAAAUACUUGACUGUAGUCCCAUUAUUAGAUUAAUAGUAGUUGGAAUAUUAGGGGCAGAUUAAAAUUAAAUGCUACUAAAAUGCAUCGAGUGAAUUAAAAAUAAAUAAAUACAAUUAUCCGUCCGAAUUCGUGGAGGGAUCGGUCCUGGGCAUCCCACGAAUUCAAAAUGUCAUGGAUAUAUACAUCCCCUUCUUUCUCUAUUCCCCCCACUCUUUUCCUUUAU
This is a long non-coding RNA of Sceloporus undulatus (fence lizard), 1601 nucleotides long. RefSeq lists it as uncharacterized. The record is from RefSeq and is a predicted model, not a curated record. The transcript has 3 exons. NCBI's taxonomy places the organism in Eukaryota, Metazoa, Chordata, Lepidosauria, Squamata, Phrynosomatidae.